AUUUGGUUCGUUCGAAACCGGAGGGAACGGUUUCCAACCCCCGUCCACCCGAGCCCUGAUCGCAGCGGGUCUUCCCGUCGGCGCUGCGGCGUUUUCCUCGCGAAGAGCGGCUAUAGGCGAACGGCGGCGGGGUCUCCCUCCGGAGAUCAUUUCCUCGAAUCUUCGACGUGAAACAUAAUCUGUGUUGGGGUGAGGGAUUCGUGGUCGUCAGCAGAGGGAGGGCACAUUCCAGUAGUGCAAUCAUGGAUGUUGAUUCACAGCCAAACAUAGAAGAAACAAUUCUAGUAGGUGAUGACCUUAUGCUGGGGCUCCCUUCACCUAUCAUUCCACCGGAGAUUGCAUCUCAUGUUCUUGAAGGUGUUGAUUUAUGUGAUGGAGUGCUAAGGAAUCUUUUUUUAUGCUUGCAAAUCAAUGAUAUUGAACCAUUUUGCCAAGAUGAGAUUGUUUUGUAUCGAGAGUGUGCUGAGAAAAGGGAUAAAGAGCUAAGACAGAGACUUUCAGAUAGUGAACAUAAAUUGGGGCUGUCCAUGCCCAUUGAAGAAGCAAAGGAAAGAGCUGCUCAACUUCAAUCAGAAGUUACAUCUCUAGAAAGGCACAUGAUUCUUGCAAGUGGAAUUCAAGGCAUGGAAGGAUUUCGUCAGCGCUGGAGCUUGCAUGGACGUCUUGAGGAUACCAAAAGAAGAAUGGAAGCUUUAAACCAGGGAAUAGAAAAGAGGAAACCUGACAAGAUCCACGGAGAGCCAGUUAGAAAAAAAUGGUUUUUUUGGUAGAUUUUUUUGCUCUCUUGAGAUUUCUGAUUAUGUUUUUGAUUUCAAAGGGUUCUACAUCAGCAUUCAAUUAUAAUUUAUUCUUGGCUACCAUAAUUCCUGUUCAUUACCUGAAUACAUUCGGUCAACUUGAUUCUCAAGAAGAAGGUGUAGAAACAGGACUUCCUGAUAGACUCUGAAGGCCCACUUCACCUUCCACCGAAGAACCGAGUCAACUCUAAGCAAAUCUUCACUGCUGGAAAGGGUGCCUCCACCACCAACCCUAACCAAACAUCAUAACAAUGGCUCCUAAUUCCUACAAAUAAUGCAAUAGGUUGGUGGGCCAGUUUUAUCUAUGCCUCCUUAGCUUCCCAUAUCUGCGUGUACAUAUGUCUUCACCAAAUCAAUUGGAUUACAAACCCUGCAAUGAUGGAGUUCUUUCCAUAAGGAAAACAACUCCCUCGUCGUGGGAGAAGGCUUGUCCCGCAAGCAUUGAUGCAAUUUUCCUGGUGAUCUAGUGGGUGUAACGACUCCCACAUAGAUGCACUGCCAACUGUCUUUUGAGAGCUUGAGUAAGGGCCUGCAUCCACUGUCUCCACAGAUACAUGUAUGUGUGUGUGUGUGUGUGUGUGCAGGUGGAGGCGACGCCGGUGAAGAGGCUGUGCAGGACCCACAACAUCAUCACAGUCAACGGCCAGUUAGUAACCCGGGACGACGCGGGCGACGCUCGUGGUCUACGGUUGACGUCAACGGGGCUAAGUACCACGUCACGCUUCACGUGCCGGUUCACGAUCGAGGAGCAGGAAGGCACGGUGUGGUGGUGGCACGCACACAGCUCCUGGCUCUCUUCCUUCUCUCAACCCUUGCAAUGGAGACAUCUCAAGCAACCAGUGAGCCCGUUCCUUCUUCCCAACUUGUCAACAAGCGAAGACUGCUGAGCUCUCUUAUGGAAGCCACAGCCACGGCUGCCUCCACCAUCCCCGACCGACCCCCUACGAUCAAGGAGGACACCUACCCCGUAUCCACCAAGUCCUCCGAGCAUAAGGCACUUUGGGAACCCACGCCCAUCUCCAUGACGAGGCGGACGCUGUCCUCCUCAAGUUCCUGCCCCACGACUUCGACGUGGGGCAGGCGCAGGACAUGCUGGUGCGGUGCGCGGAGUGGCAACGAGAGUUUGACGUCGAUAGGGCGGCCGGGGAGGAGCUGGUGGAGUUCAAGAAGCUGGAGGGCAUGGUGGCGUAGCUGGGACCGGCAGCCACCCAUGUGCUACAAGCAUCUUUGGGGGUAAGAUCGUGUAAGAGCACGAGCAACGCCGAGAAGCUACAAUGCUUUCUGAUAGAAGCUCGUGAUAUAAAGAAAUAUGAGAUGAUAAAUUUAUAUUUAUUACAUAUUCUAAUC
Molecule: RNA transcript, 2144 nt
Organism: Musa acuminata AAA Group (dessert banana)
Lineage: Eukaryota; Viridiplantae; Streptophyta; Magnoliopsida; Zingiberales; Musaceae
Exons: 9
Source: RefSeq, a predicted model, not a curated record